Molecule: ribosomal RNA, 268 nt
Filed under: uncultured bacterium
Lineage: Bacteria
Description: partial 16S ribosomal RNA
Rfam family: Bacterial small subunit ribosomal RNA
Source: RNAcentral
GACGAACGCUGGCGGCGUGCUUAACACAUGCAAGUCGAGCGGUAAGGCCCUUUCGGGGUACGACGAGCGGCGAACGGGUGAGUAACACGUGGGUGACCUGCCCUCAGCUCUGGGAUAAGCCUGGGAAACCGGGUCUAAUACCGGAUAUGACUCCAUGACGCAUGUUGUGGGGUAGGAAAGCCUUGUGCGGCUGAGGAUGGGCCCGCGGCCUAUCAGCUUGUUGGUGGGGNGAUGGCCUACCAAGGCGACGACGGGUAGCCGCCUGAGA